AGACCCAACUCAGCCAAAAAUAAAAAUAAAUAAAUAAAUUUAUAUAUUAAAAAAAAGAAUGAACCAGAAGUAGAAAAAAAAAAGAUUGUUAAUAACAUCUUUUUGACAGACUUGAGCACUUUGGGUUCCUCUUUUUACCUUCACAAGCACUUCUUAAAUCUUACUGCGGAAUCAUAGCAAAGCCAGCAAGUCCCACAGAAAAUUAAAUAUUCCUGAAUUAUCUCCAGGGUAAUGAGGCCUGAAGUCCCUGGCUAUAUAUAGGCUUUUAAAAUCAGACACCUGCUGGACUUUGUUCUAUUGAGAACUUUAUUUUGAGGGAAAGAGCCCAAAUCAUAUCUCCUGUCAGGUAAUAUUAAGAAUUAAGUGGUAAUCAUAAAACGUGUUAAGACUUAAGUAAAGUUGAUAAAAGAAUUGUUGACUUUUCCUCAACUGUCUGUUUAGUGAAAAAUUUUAAUGUUUUGUGUUAUGUUUCUUUUUUUUUUGCAAGCAGAUAGAGUCCAUAAUUCAAACUGUCAUUACAUUUCCAGCGACUUCUGAGAAGGUGCCCAGACCACAGAAUUUAGAAAGCAAGGAGCCAGCACUGUUGUGUGUCACACUUGUUAGGAAGAUUUCUCUGUUGGCAGGAGUCUUGUGUCCCCCUCUGAUAAUCACUGAGCUUGCAGCCAGACGAACACUGAGAAAAUUGUAUUGUUUUCCUUUGAAUGAUGGCUAAGAUGUAUUGCCAAGGCCAUAAAUAUUCUUUAUGUUGA
This is a long non-coding RNA of Balaenoptera musculus (blue whale), 749 nucleotides long. RefSeq lists it as uncharacterized. The record is from RefSeq and is a predicted model, not a curated record. Lineage: Eukaryota; Metazoa; Chordata; Mammalia; Artiodactyla; Balaenopteridae. The transcript is spliced from 2 exons.